Non-coding RNA from Microcebus murinus (gray mouse lemur), 3033 nucleotides. Lineage: Eukaryota; Metazoa; Chordata; Mammalia; Primates; Cheirogaleidae. The record is from RefSeq and is a predicted model, not a curated record.
CAGAACGUAAUAGAAGUAUAUCGGACUGCUUUGUCCAGGGUAAAACUAACCAGUCCCACAGCUAGAAAAUGUAUUCCUGUCCAGGCUUUCAAAGAUAGGUCUCUAUCAGUGACAGUCUAGCGCAGUAGAAAGGUCUUGGGGUCAGAAGACCUUGACUCUAGUUCUGGCGUGGUAAUUUAGCAGCUGUGGAUUUUCUGGCAACUACUCAAGGCUCUUAUUUUCUUCAUCUACAAAGUAGGAAAAAUGAUAGCUACACAUACCUCCAGGGGUUGUUCUGAGAAUCCACUGAGAUAAGGUUCUCUCCAGAUGUGAAGAAAAUUGCUUACUUGGUUGAGACGCUUGUACUUACUUGAUGAAGUACUUGAUUCCAUCUGCUGUGUAAGCUUCCUCCCACCCAUAAGAAUUCUGCUCAUCAAUCCAGCACCAGCUUAAAUGAGAGUUCCUCUGUGCAUCCUCCCCCAGAACCUUUGGCAGAGCUCAUCUUCCCAUCCCCUGUGGUACUUCUGUGAACAAAUCCAGGCCAUAUUUUAAUUUAAUGUGAGGGCACAGUACAAUGAAACUUUAAGGCCAUUAUAGCUAUCUGGAUAAAGGAAGGCUCAAGACCUUCACAUUACUCCCAUCACGACACAUCAUCCUAUCAUUGAAUAAUAGAAGACAAACACUGACCUAGUUUAGAAGUGCAGAUGAAAAGAAAAUGAAAACAGGAUACAUGACAACGGCAAGGAAACCAUGGGCCCCUGACUGGGACAGCCUCCAUCAUCAGGAGUUUGACUGGCUGCUAAAACAGAGAGGAAAGAAAUAUGAUGAACUUCACACUGGCUCUUAAGCAGGUGGGAAAGUACAAUUCUACUACUGGCAGAGAAAGAAGAGAACCUGAUAUAGCUGAAAAGCUCCAAGUAUUAGUGUAUUAUACAUGUCUCUUUCUGUAGUGGUGCUAGGAUUUCACUAGGGUAUAUACCUAGAAGUAGACUUGCUGAGUUAAGAUGUGAGAAUGUUCAGUUUUGCCAAAUUGCUCUCCAAAGUACAGUCCUAUGAGUAUCAGAUGAGAGUUCCCAGGUCUUUCUUUUUAUCCCUGAGAACACUGCUAUUAUAAGACUUUUAAAUAUCUGUCCACUUAAUGAGUAGGCAACUGUAUCUCGUUGUUGCUUUAUUUUAAUUUCCUGGAAGGACAUCUUUUCACAUAUUUAACUGCCAUUUGGGUUUUGACUUUUGUAAAUGGCCCAUUCAUUUGCACUGACCAUCUUUCUUUGGGGUUCCCUGUAUUUUCCUUGAGUUAGUGGGAACAUUUCUCUCUAGCCCUUCUUUUGAUGAGGGAAGCCAGCCCUUUCAGGAUCUUGUAUUUCUCUAUAGAGGAUAUCAGUUCCAGAAUCCCAUCUGAAAAGGGCCUAAGUCCAUGUUAAAUCUGAGCCUCAAUAUCUGAGUCUGAUUCCUUCCUUGGGCCACAUGAUGUCAGCACUAACUUCUAGUGUUCACACUUACAUUUCUGUUGUGUAAGAUUUCCUUCACUCCUCUCUCCUCUCCCUUUUUUCUUUCCUUUCUUCCUCCCAAGCUUGACUAUGUAUUUAGAAAACUGCCUUGUUUUAUUUUAUUCAUUAUUUCUCUAUAUAAAUUGAGCAUCCAUAAUCUGAAAAUCUGAAGUGCCCCCAAAUCCAUAACUCUUUGAGCACUGACAUGAUGCCACAGAUUUUCCACAUGGGUGGCUAAGAUACUGACACCUUUGUUUCUGAUGACACAAUGUACUACAAACUUUGUUUCAUGCAUAGAAGUCUGCCAGGUAAAGUGGUUAGCUAGAUAAUUUUCUCCUUAUCCAGAGAGAUGGUAUUAAAUCUUGAAUGUUCACAAAUUUAUAUUAAAUCAACAUCAUUAAAGCUCAGUAAUUGUUUUAUAUAUAUAAUAGAUAUGUUUUUAAACCUCAAAUACUUUAUUUUUAAAAGUGUUAAUAUUAACUAAUUAUAGACCAUGCCAUUAGCCAGAACUUACAUGUUGCCAUAAAUAAAAAGAGCACAGGUUAGCAAAAGAUACUCAGGAUUGAGAAAAUAUAAAGGAGACAUUUCAAGUAUCUAAUUAUAUGGAAAGUUUUAUUGAGCACAAGUCAGGUGUUUAAACAAUGGUAGGUACUACAGGGUCUAUGGUGAAGACACUUAUAAUUUCAUUGAUAAAACAAGAUACAAAGAUUAUGAGGUGCCACCAAGUGAUGGUAAGUGCUACUAAUGUCCAAAAGAAGGCAAUAUUGGCCUGAACCACAGUAGUUAGCAAAGUCUGGCUAAAGGAGACGGAACUAAAUGACAGAACUCAGAACAUGCUGCCUCAAAAUAUGGCACCUUGGUAUUUGAAGAGAUAGCAGAAGCAAGGUCUCUCCUGAAGUGGGCCAUAAAACUUUGCUUUCUUUCCCCUAAAUGUAGGUGUUAGACCCUAAUUCCAGAGGGGUCCUCCCUACACCCAGAGGAAAGGAAAUGUCUUCAUCUCUGAAGACACAGAGAUGCCAAGAAGAAUCUGAACAAACAGACCUUGCUAUGUUCCCUUCAGUUUAUUACCAUUAGAUCAUACCCUUUAUCUUCCAGUCAUUUCUAUACAACUAUCCAUAAAAACACAGUUUUCCCUGUUUCUUUUGGUCUUCAUUCCUGAAGGGCUCCCAUGUCAUGUAAAACUUAUAUUAAAUAAAUUUGCAUGUUUUUCUCUUGUUAAUCUGUCUCUUGUUAUAGGUGUUUCAGCCAUGAACCUAGUAAUGGGUAAGAAAAAACUUUUCUUUCCUACAUAAGUCAGAAUUUGAACAAUGGGUGAGAUCCAAAUUGGCAAUGAGAAUGGUUGUAUUAUAGGGCCAACCAAAGGUAUGGAUACAGGAAUAAACAGGUCCAUUUUACAUUGAAAAAAUAUUGCACAUUUUUCCUGUCAGAUCCCUAGUAACUUGAUAGGAAAAGUUUUCAAGCGCUUUCCUGCCUUUAAUUUUUCUUUUUUAAUCAUCUUAAGUUUCUUUAAGAAAUAGAAAGUUUCAAUGUUUCACUCUCCCCAAGACUAUUUUUUGGUGCCUUAGCA